UCUGAACUGGCUCAGUCGGUUAAGAAUCCGCCUGCAAAGCAGGAGACCCAGGUUCGAUCCCUGGGUUGGGAA
RNAcentral lists this transfer RNA (72 nucleotides) under Ovis aries (sheep). It matches the Rfam family "tRNA". Rfam says of the family: Transfer RNA (tRNA) molecules are approximately 80 nucleotides in length. Their secondary structure includes four short double-helical elements and three loops (D, anti-codon, and T loops). Further hydrogen bonds mediate the characteristic L-shaped molecular structure. tRNAs have two regions of fundamental functional importance: the anti-codon, which is responsible for specific mRNA codon recognition, and the 3' end, to which the tRNAs corresponding amino acid is attached (by aminoacyl-tRNA synthetases). tRNAs cope with the degeneracy of the genetic code in two manners: having more than one tRNA (with a specific anti-codon) for a particular amino acid; and 'wobble' base-pairing, i.e. permitting non-standard base-pairing at the 3rd anti-codon position. The record is from Rfam by way of RNAcentral. Lineage: Eukaryota; Metazoa; Chordata; Mammalia; Artiodactyla; Bovidae.